AGUGAACGCUGGCGGUAGGCCUAACACAUGCAAGUCGAACGGCAGCACAGUAAGAGCUUGCUCUUACGGGUGGCGAGUGGCGGACGGGUGAGGAAUACAUCGGAAUCUACUUUUUCGUGGGGGAUAACGUAGGGAAACUUACGCUAAUACCGCAUACGACCUACGGGUGAAAGCAGGGGAUCUUCGGACCUUGCGCGAUUGAAUGAGCCGAUGUCGGAUUAGCUUGUUGGCGGGGUAAGGGCCCACCAAGGCGACGAUCCGUAGCUGGUCUGAGAGGAUGAUCAGCCACACUGGAACUGAGACACGGUCCAGACUCCUACGGGAGGCAGCAGUGGGGAAUAUUGGACAAUGGGCGCAAGCCUGAUCCAGCCAUACCGCGUGGGUGAAGAAGGCCUUCGGGUUGUAAAGCCCUUUUGUUGGGAAAGAAAAGCAGCAGGUUAAUACCCCGCUGUUCUGACGGUACCCAAAGAAUAAGCACCGGCUAACUUCGUG
This 492-nucleotide ribosomal RNA is filed under the name uncultured bacterium. Its description in RNAcentral is "partial 16S ribosomal RNA". It matches the Rfam family "Bacterial small subunit ribosomal RNA", at positions 29 to 507 of the family's 1533-position model. The record is from RNAcentral.